RNAcentral lists this long non-coding RNA (1352 nucleotides) under Homo sapiens (human). RNAcentral describes it as "uncharacterized LOC102724542, transcript variant 8 (LOC102724542)". The record is from RNAcentral. Lineage: Eukaryota; Metazoa; Chordata; Mammalia; Primates; Hominidae.
GCAGCUGCCGGACACCAGGAGACGAUGGAAGGUCUAUAGUGUUACAGCUCUGACCCAGGAAGUCCCAGGGUCUUGCCUUCCAGAAGGGUCGCGGCUCUUCCCUCCCUCAGUCCAACGAACAGGAGCACGUCACCUCCCGCAGCUCGGGGAGCUGGCCAGGAACGUGUUACAGCCCGUUUCGCUCCUGUCCGCAGCUGGGUGAGGCAGCCAGGAAAAUAUUACAGCUCUUCUCACGCCCGCCAUUCAGCAGGUCCUGACUUCUUGUGUGACAUCCAGAAGAAAGGGGUUACACAGACAGCUGGAGGGUGAGCAAAGUGGAGAAGUUCUCAGCAGAGAGGAGACUGGAGUGAGUUGCCCCUACCCGCAGGUGCCAACUGUAAUACAUCAGUAGCUGAACAGCUCAUUGCCCUCAAGUGUUCUUGCUCAUGCCUGGCUGAGUUAUUGAAGAAAUUGCUCAGAUCUCAAGCCCUUGUAGAUCACUGGUCCUGGCAGAUGUUGAAAGACAGCAUUCAAGGAACCACCUUGUACGCAGACACUGAAACCUCGCGAGACAACAAAACUGCUGACACCUUGAUCUUGGACUUCCCAGCCUCCAGAACUAUUUCGAACUAUAAAGUAUACCUAUUCCUCAAGAACAAACCGAACACAAACCUGGGAGAAAAAAGAAAGACUGAAGUGGAACUAAAUAAUAUUGAAACCAACAAGCAAUACAAGAAACCAGCAAAGAGUACAUAGAACAAACAUUUUUUUUAGAAGGAUUAAAUGGGACAAUUAAACAAUUUGAUCAGCAUAAUGUCCAGCUCAAGGAUCUUGGAGGUGGUGAGGCAGCCCAAGUGGAAAGGCAGCAGAAGGGGUAUCCUUGUUUUACCAAUUACUCAUAUGUAGGAGAUGGUGCAUUAAAUGAAAUAUUCUCUGCUCUCUCCUAACAUCUACCCCCUCACACCAAGAGGAAGGCAUGUCGCCUGAACCUUUGCAGUAUUCAAUUAAAGUUCUAUUCACACGGUAUUGCAGUUGUUUGCUUAUCUUUCUUUCUUAUUAGACUUAAAACUUCUGGAAACUAGAGGCUAUAUUACUUAUUUGCCUCAGAGUCCUGUUGGCCUAUCAAAUGGCACACCUUCAAUCCAAGAAUGAAUUAAUUAAAUAAAUGUGAAGAAAAAAAAAAUCCAAGUUGCUUAUUUUUGUUAAAUUUAUUUUUCCCCAAAAUAUUUACUGAGAAAAUGACUCUGGGAAGAUAGCAGAGUGGAAAGCCCCAGAAAUGUGUUUCCCCACCUAGACAACAACUGUACUGGCAGAAUCUGUUUGAUGUGACUAUUCUGAAGUUCUGAAUUGAAUAAAUAUGAAGAAAAUACAAA